Venturia canescens is the source of this 782-nucleotide long non-coding RNA. RefSeq lists it as uncharacterized. The record is from RefSeq and is a predicted model, not a curated record. The transcript has 2 exons. NCBI's taxonomy places the organism in Eukaryota, Metazoa, Arthropoda, Insecta, Hymenoptera, Ichneumonidae.
UACAUUUAGGAACGCUAUGGAUUCAUACAUUUUAUGAGAAACAGAUGAAAAUGAAAGAAGCGGUUAAGAAUAUUUCAAUACAAUGGAUUUAUCCUGUAUUUUUAUAGACUCUGAAUCGAACAAGCUGAUGUGUCAUAAAGAAGUAGUAUUGGAUGAAUGAAAGUAAGUCAUAAAAAUGUGGCGAAGAAGAACCCCUCACUGGCAGCAACUGGAAAUGAAAUGUAGUAAAAAAAAAAAAAAAAAUAGUGGAAGAUUGUCGAAAUCCAGGGCCAUCGCGAAAACCUGUCGAGUGGAGGAGCAUCCAAUUCAAUCGCUCGGACCUAAAUCCGACUUGCCAAAAGAAGUGCAAAAAAGAGACGGGAGAAGGAAGAUGCAAGUAGAGAAAGAAGGGUACCGAGCUAAAAAGCGAGCUUAUCUCGAUAAGUCCAGUAAUAAAAUUGGCGUUUUGUUGGUCGUUGGGGGAUAUAGUAUAAGUACCAGCCAGCCUCGCCCUCGCUUUAGGUUCAAACCUUCGGAGAACCAUCGUUUGUAACGUUAGCCUAGCACGGGGGAAGGCGAAAGGAGAGCUUGCUUUUGCUAGUAGGACUGGAAUGAACGUAUUCGAACAGCCAAUUGAAAGUUUUUACGGGGGAUCUGUUUGGGGAAAUCGCCAGGAGGCCAUUCAGCCAGUCCAUCAUGGCCGGGCCGGACUAAGACCAUUGCAGGCACUUCGAAGAUUUUCUAAAGGCCAGCUCCCUCACUGCUCUGUCGGAGCUCUGUGUCGAAGACGAAGGUUCUUUUUU